AACGAACGCUGGCGGCAUGCCUAACACAUGCAAGUCGAACGAGACCUUCGGGUCUAGUGUCGCACGGGUGCGUAACGCGAGGGAACCUGCCCUUAUGUUCGGCAUAACUCCCCGAAAGGGGUGCUAAUACCGGAUAAUGUCUUCGGACCAAAGAUUUAUCGCCCUUGGAUGGGCCCGCGUUGGAUUAGCUAGUUGGUAGGCUAAAAGCCUACCAAGGCGACGAUUAAUAGCUGGUUUGAGAGGAUGAUCAGCCACACUGGGACUGAGACACGGCCCAGACUCCUACGGGAGGCAGCAGUGGGGAAUAUUGGAAAGUGGGCGAAAGCCUGAUCCAGCAAUGCCGCGUGAGUGAUGAAGGCCUUAGGGUUGUAAAGCUCAUUUACCCGGGAUGAUAAUGACAGUACCGGGAGAAUAAGCUCCGGCUAACUCCGUG
Molecule: ribosomal RNA, 433 nt
Filed under: uncultured bacterium
Lineage: Bacteria
Description: partial 16S ribosomal RNA
Rfam family: Bacterial small subunit ribosomal RNA
Source: RNAcentral